UAGAGUUUGAUCUUGGCUCAGGAUGAANGCUGGCGGCGUGCCUAAUACAUGCAAGUCGAGCGAACAGAUGAGAAGCUUGCUUCUCUGAUGUUAGCGGCGGACGGGUGAGUAACACGUGGGUAACCUACCNAUAAGACUGGGAUAACUCCGGGAAACCGGGGCUAAUACCUGAUAAUAUUUUGAACCGCAUGGUUCAAUAGUGAAAGACGGCUUCGGCUGUCACUUAUAGAUGGACCCGCGCCGUAUUAGNUAGUUGGUAAGGUAAUGGCUUACCAAGGCNACGAUACGUAGCCGACCUGAGAGGGUGAUCGGCCNCACUGGAACUGAGACACGGUCCAGACUCCUACGGGAGGCAGCAGUAGGGAAUCUUCUGCAAUGGGCGAAAGCCUNACGGAGCAACGCCGCGUGAGUGAUGAAGGUCUUAGGAUCGUAAAACUCUGUUGUUAGGGAAGAACAAAUUUGUUAGUAACUGAACAAGUCCUUGUACGGUACGCUAACCAAAAAGACCACGG
This 512-nucleotide ribosomal RNA is filed under the name Mammaliicoccus vitulinus. Its description in RNAcentral is "bacterial SSU rRNA". It matches the Rfam family "Bacterial small subunit ribosomal RNA", at positions 1 to 496 of the family's 1533-position model. The record is from RNAcentral. Lineage: Bacteria; Bacillati; Bacillota; Bacilli; Caryophanales; Staphylococcaceae.